UACCUCUCCUGGAGACACUGCUCAGG
RNAcentral lists this non-coding RNA (26 nucleotides) under Mus musculus (house mouse). Lineage: Eukaryota; Metazoa; Chordata; Mammalia; Rodentia; Muridae. The record is from RNAcentral.